RNAcentral lists this ribosomal RNA (1130 nucleotides) under Xenophyophora sp. 1 MaH-2019. Its description in RNAcentral is "SSU rRNA". It matches the Rfam family "Eukaryotic small subunit ribosomal RNA", at positions 1160 to 1677 of the family's 1831-position model. The record is from RNAcentral. Lineage: Eukaryota; Foraminifera.
AAGGGCACCACAAGAACGCGUGGAGCAUGUGGCUUAGUUUGACUCAACGCGAGGAAUCUUACCAGGUCCAGACAUAUUAAGGAUUGACAGGUAUAUUUUAUGUAUUUAAUAGUAUUAUGCUUAAAUAUGAGUAUCCUUUCAUUAUAUUAUGGAGAGAGGUGCACGGCCGUUUUUAGUUCGUGAAGUGAUUUGUUUGCUCGACUGUAAUUCGUAUAGAACUUGAGUUAAGGGAGUCGUGAUUUAAAUUUAUGCAUAUAAUGUUAAUAUUUACGAGUUUGUUUAUUGUUAUAUUUUUAUGUUGUGAUGUAUGUGUUUUUUAAUAUUAGUGUUUUGUGUUUAGGUUUAUGAUUUAUAGUUUGAGUUCUGAUUGCAACGAACGUGAUCGUAGCUUUUAGUAGCUUGUGUUAGUAUUUUGAAUUUAUUUGGUAACUUAUUUAUUUGUUAUUAAAAUUUAGUGUCAUGUGAAUCUUUAGUGAUUUCUGAUGUAUUCUAUUUUCAUUAUAUAUCAAUUUAUUUCAUAUUUACAACACAUUUGCCUGACUUUCCCUCGUUUGUGAGACUUAACAAAUCCUACAAUCAAAAAGUAUUGCAAUUGUGCAAAGGUUUAUCCUUGAUUUUGUUAAUAUGUUGAAAAUUGUUAUGUGUAUUAGCACUUAUUUGCACUAGAAGGACAGCUACUAUUUAUUAAAGUAGAGGAAGGUUGCGGUAAUAACAGGUCUGUGAUGCCCUUAGAUGUCCUGGGCUGCACAUGUGCUACAAUGAUUGUUGCAGUGAGCAUCUUGUUUGUAUACUGAAUCAUCAGUUUUAUCUUUCUUUGUUUAUUUGAUUGAUAUAGGUGAUUGGUCAGUUUAGCCUAUUUCGAAAGUUUGUAGGUAAGCAAUUUGAAGUAAUGAUUUCCGUUUAAUCAAUUUUAUUGAUUUUUAGAUUCACAAUAUAUUAUUAUCUUUUUGAUUAACAUUUAUUUUUUAUAUUUGUUUUAUUUAGAUUUUUGGUAUGUGUUUUUGUCAACUCAUAGUGGGGACAGACCAUUGCAAAUUUUUGGUCUCGUUUUAACUAGGAAUGCCUUGUACGGGUUUUGGUUUAACAUACCACCCGGAAUACGUCCCUGUCCUUUGUACACACCGCCCGUC